Oreochromis niloticus (Nile tilapia) is the source of this 534-nucleotide long non-coding RNA. RefSeq lists it as uncharacterized. The record is from RefSeq and is a predicted model, not a curated record. The transcript has 3 exons. Lineage: Eukaryota; Metazoa; Chordata; Actinopteri; Cichliformes; Cichlidae.
GAGAAAGUACAAGGUCAGGAAGAACCAGCAACUGCAGUUCAAGUUGACUGAGGAGGAUGGAGACAGAGAAAGAGGACUGAGGGUUGUACAAGAACAGGAAUAACAACAAUUACAAUUCAAGUCGACUGAGGAGGAUGGAGACAGAGAGAGAGGCCCGGGAGGUUGUACAAGAACCAAAAGAACAAGUGAACAAAUACUGAAGCUAGCUGAAAGAAAGCCCUGCAUUUUUAACAAAGUAAUUUUUCAUGUAUUUCAUCGGUGCUUUUUCAGUAGCAAACUUCAAAAAUAUUGAUAGUAAUUGUAGCAUUUUACAGGAUUCAUACCACUCUAAACAUGGCUUGAACAGGAUGGCUGCCACUAUAUUGAUGUGACAGAAUCUGUUCUCCACUCGUGACAUUGGUGUACAUGAUGCUCUAUGAUGCCUCUGCAUAAUAAAGAGAGGGUGUUUUAUGAAUUCAAAAAUUUUAAUAUGAAAACAACUCUAUUACCAGUUUGCUGUGUGUACAGGUCUAUGGAAUGGCAGGGUGAUUUUCC